Molecule: unclassified non-coding RNA, 306 nt
Filed under: plant metagenome
Description: partial contains 5.8S ribosomal RNA, internal transcribed spacer 2, and large subunit ribosomal RNA
Rfam family: 5.8S ribosomal RNA (bases 1-105)
Source: RNAcentral
GAAAUGCGAUAAGUAAUGUGAAUUGCAGAAUUCAGUGAAUCAUCGAAUCUUUGAACGCACAGUGCGCCCGCCAGUAUUCUGGCGGGCAUGCCUGUCCGAGCGUCAUUUCAACCAUCAAGCCCCCGGGCUUGUGUUGGGGACCUGCGGCUGCCCGCAGGCCCUGAAAACCAGUGGCGGGCUCGCUGUCACACCGAGCGUAGUAGCAAUCACCUCGCUCAGGGCGUGCUGCGGGUUCCGGCCGUUAAACAGCCUUACAAAACCCAAGGUUGACCUCGGAUCAGGUAGGAAGACCCGCUGAACUUAAGC